AGUCUAGUAGCGCAACGGAUAGCGCGCGCGUUGGACUUCUAAUCCGAAGGUCGUAGGUUUGAAUUCUGCCUGGGAUUG
Molecule: non-coding RNA, 78 nt
Organism: Trichonephila clavipes
Lineage: Eukaryota; Metazoa; Arthropoda; Arachnida; Araneae; Nephilidae
Source: the annotation of a GenBank genome assembly